GGAUAACCUGCCCUUGGGACUGGCAUAACCCCGGGAAACUGGGGAUAAUUCCGGAUAACGCAUAUGUGCUGGAAUGCUUUAUGCGUAAAAUGGAUUCGUCCGCCCAAGGAUGGGUCUGCGGCCUAUCAGGUAGUAGUGGGUGUAAUGUACCUACUAGCCAGCGACGGGUACGGGUUGUGAGAGCAAGAGCCCGGAGAUGGAUUCUGAGACAUGAAUCCAGGCCCUACGGGGCGCAGCAGGCGCGAAAACUUUACAAUGCGGGAAACCGUGAUAAGGGGACACCGAGUGUCAGCAUCAUAUGCUGGCUGUCCAGGUGUGUAAAAUACACCUGUUAGCAAGGGCCGGGCAAGACCGGUGCCAGCCGCCGCGGUAACACCGGCGGCCCGAGUGGUGAUCGUGAUUAUUGGGUCUAAAGGGUCCGUAGCCGGUUUGGUCAGUCCUCCGGGAAAUCUGAUGGCUCAACCAUUAGGCUUUCGGGGGAUACUGCCAGGCUUGGAACCGGGAGAGGUAAGAGGUACUACAGGGGUAGGAGUGAAAUCUUGUAAUCCCUGUGGGACCACCUGUGGCGAAGGCGUCUUACCAGAACGGGUUCGACGGUGAGGGACGAAAGCUGGGGGCACGAACCGGAUUAGAUACCCGGGUAGUCCCAGCCGUAAACGAUGCUCGCUAGGUGUCAGGCAUGGCGCGACCGUGUCUGGUGCCGCAGGGAAGCCGUGAAGCGAGCCACCUGGGAAGUACGGCCGCAAGGCUGAAACUUAA
This 759-nucleotide ribosomal RNA is filed under the name uncultured archaeon. RNAcentral's name for it is "bacterial SSU rRNA". It matches the Rfam family "Archaeal small subunit ribosomal RNA", at positions 102 to 859 of the family's 1478-position model. The record is from RNAcentral.